This 468-nucleotide ribosomal RNA is filed under the name uncultured bacterium. Its description in RNAcentral is "partial 16S ribosomal RNA". It matches the Rfam family "Bacterial small subunit ribosomal RNA", at positions 28 to 507 of the family's 1533-position model. The record is from RNAcentral.
GACGAACGCUGGCGGCGUGCUUAACACAUGCAAGUCGAACGGAAAGGCCCUGCUUUUGUGGGGUGCUCGAGUGGCGAACGGGUGAGUAACACGUGAGUAACCUGCCCUUGACUUUGGGAUAACUUCAGGAAACUGGGGCUAAUACCGGAUAGGAGCUCCUGCUGCAUGGUGGGGGUUGGAAAGUCUCGGCGGUUGGGGAUGGACUCGCGGCUUAUCAGCUUGUUGGUGGGGUAGUGGCUUACCAAGGCUUUGACGGGUAGCCGGCCUGAGAGGGUGACCGGCCACAUUGGGACUGAGAUACGGCCCAGACUCCUACGGGAGGCAGCAGUGGGGAAUAUUGCACAAUGGGCGGAAGCCUGAUGCAGCAACGCCGCGUGCGGGAUGACGGCCUUCGGGUUGUAAACCGCUUUCGCCUGCGACGAAGCGUGAGUGACGGUAAUGGGUAAAGAAGCACCGGCUAACUACGUG